Molecule: ribosomal RNA, 253 nt
Filed under: uncultured bacterium
Lineage: Bacteria
Description: partial 16S ribosomal RNA
Rfam family: Bacterial small subunit ribosomal RNA
Source: RNAcentral
UACGUAGGGUGCAAGCGUUAUCCGGAUUUACUGGGUUUAAAGGGUGCGUAGGUGGGCAGGUAAGUCAGUGGUGAAAUCUCCGGGCUUAACCCGGAAACUGCCAUUGAUACUAUCUGUCUUGAAUAUCCUGGAGGUAAGCGGAAUAUGUCAUGUAGCGGUGAAAUGCUUAGAUAUGACAUAGAACACCCAUUGCGAAGGCAGCUUACUACGGGAUUAUUGACACUGAGGCACGAAAGCGUGGGGAUCAAACAGG